RNAcentral lists this long non-coding RNA (2245 nucleotides) under Ooceraea biroi (clonal raider ant). Its description in RNAcentral is "uncharacterized LOC113563178". The record is from RNAcentral. Lineage: Eukaryota; Metazoa; Arthropoda; Insecta; Hymenoptera; Formicidae.
GUAAAAUAUACCUUAUUUUCAGCGUUCUAAAGCAGGCUCCCCCCUUAAGACUAAUUUAAAACGCGAAUAAAUGUUCCUCGCACUUACUUUUAAUUCAUUCACACUUGUUCUUUCCUCUCGGAUUAGAGUUUCACGCGCUCAUUGUUCAUCUAUGCAGCAAUUCUGGCAACGGUCAAUCACAUAAAUAACGCGUACUGCCACAAACAAAUAUAUAAAGACCGCCAGAAAGAAAAACGUGGCGGAUUCCAGCGCGAGAUCCGAAAGUUGAAUUUAUGCGAAGAAAGAAGAGCUUCGGUGCAUCGCAGUGAAAAAGGAAAAACGUGACCCUGUAACUCGUUUACGGAGUCUUACGCGUGAUGUAUAGACGUGUCUGUCUCCGUGUUUGUCGCCACGCACGUUUUACGGGCUAAACGGCGGGCGCACGCAUUGACCAGGGCGAAAUUACCGCGCGUGUCUACCGACCGCUACGUCGUCCCCCUGCUUUAGUGCGUUACGCAUUGUGGUCACCGUGUUUUUUAAUCCUUUUCUUUAGUUUUGUUCUUGUAUUUUUUUAAGGAAAUGCAGAGUUUUUCUUCGCACGCGAGAAAAAUUGUAACAUAAUUUUGACGUGAGUUUGAAAUUUUGAAAAUAUUAUAUUCACACAUAAAGAAAUAAAAUUUUUCAUAUAAACGAGUUUUCAUGUUGUUUCUCAUCUCUCGUAUUUUUGUACUUGAUUUUAGAUCUAUAUUUACGCUUUUCCUUUUCUUAAUUUUCUCUAACGUGCACAUUUCUCUUUCAAAACUUAGCCUUUAAUUCACAACUUUAAAUUUGACGGGAAACAAAGCGUCGUGACGCGAUCGUCGCGUGCCAUUGGGACGCAUUUUCCCGGAGGUCUCGCGCGACUUUCCUCUCGUAUGCGAUCGCGCGCUCAUAUCGCGUCCGCGACGAUGCGUUUAAAUGGUGUGCGAGCGUGUAGAUAUAUAAUAUCCAUAUAUAUAUAUAUACAUAUAUAUAUAUGCGAGACGAGAGUUUAGACGAGGUAGGCAGAGGGGUUUCCGGCGAGCGUUAACAGAGUAACAGAGUGAUGUAAUGAGGCCCGGAAGCAGGCAAUUUGCUGCCCGCGGCGGCCGCAGUUGCGCGAGACAACCUGCCCGGAGUACCUUCUUCUUGAUAUCGCGGUCCAGCCUUCUCCGUAUCGGACACCUGACCGUAUCGGACGACAAGCGGUCCGUUCGCUACUCCGAUCCGCGAAGAGUGUCGCGUCGUGCAUUGAUUUAAAAAAAAGAAAAUUAAAAAAAGACACAAUGAAAAACGCGGAUUAAAAGGAAGAGAGACACACGCGAGUCGUGCGCGCGCGGACGAGCGUGCGAGUGCGCGAAUAAAGAAAUCGGCGCGCGACGAGGAAGAGCGGUAAUUAUUUCGUGUGAUGUACGAGCACGGCCAACGUUGGGACAACGUUGUUUUGUUCGAUGUAAUGAAUGUGAAUUAUUCGCGACAAUGGGAGCUGCACAAUUGACGUAAGGUAUACUUUUACGUAGCUGUAACGUAGAUCGAUGUCGUCGAGAUUACGCUGACUUUGGUGCACUUGUAUCUGGUGAUUAUAAUAUUAAAUAUCGUCCAAGAGAAAGAGAGACACGUGAGCAGUGCAGUGAAGUAUUCCUCCGACUCGCGCAUCUGCAUUUUACUGCGUCGAUCCCUUCGUCAUUGACCUCAAUACGCGCUGGACAUCCGGACGUACCCGUACCCGAGAGUGCUUUAUCCUUAACCAUCCCGAUCGAAUGUCGGUGCACGAAUGUCCGCGACAACCAGUGACUCGGAAUGACCGUCGCGGAAACAAUACUUUGCUGCACUUCGCCUUCCGGGCUAUUCUCGGUUAAUGGACGGUCCCGGGAAAAGGGAUGUUGACGUUUGAACGAUCAGCGCGCUGGCAGUGAAACGUGUGCUGGUUCAUCGUGAGAAUCGUCGCAGUGAUCGAAGGGGCUUUUUGGUGAUGUACGACAGCGCUAGCUGUUCGUACGCAGGUGCGCUCGAAUUAAAGGGAGCCUCCGGGGCCGGAGCCGCGGCCGCGGCCGGUGUAACCGCGGCCGGCGUCAAGCAGGAGAACUGGCCGUAUCGCGGCCUCACUUGCGGCAGCACCUUUCAACGGCUCAAGGAAAGCGUCGACAAGGCGAAGCAGGCCCUCGCCGAUCGCAGUGGUUACCUGGCAGGAGCGUUCUCGCCGCCUCCGCGCGCCAACCCGUCCGCCAUUUCGCCCACCGCCUCCAUC